CACGCAGGGACCAAGCGUUGUCCGGAUUCAUUGGGCGUAAAGAGCUCGUAGGCGGUUCGAUAAGUCGGGUGUGAAACCUCCAGGCUCAACCUGGAGACGCCACCCGAUACUGUCGUGACUAGAGUCCAGUAGGGGAGCGUGGAAUUCCUGGUGUAGCGGUGAAAUGCGCAGAUAUCAGGAGGAACACCAGCGGCGAAGGCGGCGCUCUGGGCUGGAACUGACGCUGAGGAGCGAAAGCGUGGGGAGCGAACAGG
RNAcentral lists this ribosomal RNA (254 nucleotides) under uncultured bacterium. RNAcentral's name for it is "partial 16S ribosomal RNA". It matches the Rfam family "Bacterial small subunit ribosomal RNA", at positions 524 to 776 of the family's 1533-position model. The record is from RNAcentral.